CAAUCAUUUAGAACGUCGGUCUACCGAACAAUUUCAUUCGCUCGGUAGAAAAUCUUCCCUUUGUCCA
RNAcentral lists this microRNA precursor (67 nucleotides) under Bombyx mori (domestic silkworm). RNAcentral describes it as "mir-2774 microRNA precursor family". It matches the Rfam family "mir-2774 microRNA precursor family". Lineage: Eukaryota; Metazoa; Arthropoda; Insecta; Lepidoptera; Bombycidae. The record is from Rfam by way of RNAcentral.